UACGUAGGGUGCAAGCGUUAAUCGGAAUUACUGGGCGUAAAGCGUGCGCAGGCGGUUAUGUAAGACAGUUGUGAAAUCCCCGGGCUCAACCUGGGAACUGCAUCUGUGACUGCAUAGCUAGAGUACGGUAGAGGGGGAUGGAAUUCCGCGUGUAGCAGUGAAAUGCGUAGAUAUGCGGAGGAACACCGAUGGCGAAGGCAGCCUCCUGGGAUAACACUGACGCUCAUGCACGAAAGCGUGGGGAGCAAACAGG
RNAcentral lists this ribosomal RNA (253 nucleotides) under uncultured bacterium. RNAcentral describes it as "partial 16S ribosomal RNA". It matches the Rfam family "Bacterial small subunit ribosomal RNA", at positions 524 to 776 of the family's 1533-position model. The record is from RNAcentral.